This 457-nucleotide ribosomal RNA is filed under the name Saccharomyces cerevisiae (brewer's yeast). RNAcentral's name for it is "partial 18S ribosomal RNA". The stretch from base 76 to 229 matches the Rfam family "5.8S ribosomal RNA". The record is from RNAcentral. Lineage: Eukaryota; Fungi; Ascomycota; Saccharomycetes; Saccharomycetales; Saccharomycetaceae.
CAAACAAUUUUAUUUAUUCAUUAAAUUUUUGUCAAAAACCAGAAUUUUCGUAACUGGAAAUUUUAAAAUAUUAAAAACUUUCAACAACGGAUCUCUUGGUUCUCGCAUCGAUGAAGAACGCAGCGAAAUGCGAUACGUAAUGUGAAUUGCAGAAUUCCGUGAAUCAUCGAAUCUUUGAACGCACAUUGCGCCCCUUGGUAUUCCAGGGGGCAUGCCUGUUUGAGCGUCAUUUCCUUUUCAAACAUUCUGUUUGGUAGUGAGUGAUACUCUUUGGAGUUAACUUGAAAUUGCUGGCCUUUUCAUUGGAUGUCCAAAGAGAGGUUUCUCUGCGUGCUUGAGGUAUAAUGCAAGUACGGUCGUUUUAGGUUUUACCAACUGCGGCUAAUCUUUUUUAUACUGAGCGUAUUGGAACGUUAUCGAUAAGAAGAGAGCGUCUAGGCGAACAAUGUUCUAAAGU